AUGCGCUGCCUUCAUGAUUCCAGGACCUGGAAUCAUACCAGCCGAUGGUCGAAGAAGGAUUGGCCGGUGCUGCCGGCUGGCAUCAAGUUCAAUCUCGCGGAUCAGGAGCUGAUCGAGCACCUUGAGGCCAAAGUGAGUGCUGACAGCGCGAGAUCUCACCCUCUCAUCGAUUUGUUCAUACCAACCAUCGACAGCGAGCACGACAUAUGCUACACCCAUCUUGAGAAACUUCCAGACGCUGACCUGGUAUCACUGAGUGGCCUAAGCAAGCAUUUCUUCCAGCGCAAUUCCAGGGCGUUCAAAAGGGGCACGUGGACGCGUCGCAAGAUAAAUUCUGAGUGCAGCAUGCACGCGAUGUGGCACAACACCGGCAAUACCUUGCCGGUGAUGGUCGACGGCCAGCAGACGGGUAGCAAAAACGUUCUGGUGCUGCACACCAACAAGAACUUCGACCAGCAGAGGAUCAACUGGGUGAUGCACCAGUACCACCUCGGGGACCUAGAGCAAGAGAAGGAGCGGGAGAUGGUCCUCUACAAGACUUUCUACCAGACGAAUACAAGGGCCAGUAGUCGAGCAAGUUUCAACUGGGCUGUAGACUGCCCAGGCUUGGUUUUGUUUUUAACAGGCACAGACCAUGAUGACAAUGGGGCACAAAGAUCUAGCAGGUAG
RNAcentral lists this ribosomal RNA (669 nucleotides) under Triticum aestivum (bread wheat). Its description in RNAcentral is "partial small subunit ribosomal RNA". The record is from RNAcentral. Lineage: Eukaryota; Viridiplantae; Streptophyta; Magnoliopsida; Poales; Poaceae.